AUCUGGAAGCUAAAAAUACCUCUAAGAGUGAAGAUAUUUGUUUGGUUUUUAAGUAGAGGGGUCAUCUUAACUAGAGAUAAUCUGGCAUGAUGCAACUGGCAAGGUAGCAAGACAUGAGUCUUUUGCCAACAUAAAGAGUCUAUUAAGCACUUAUUUUUUAAGUGUAAGUUCGGUCAUGCAGGCUGGGCCAUAGUUCAAGUAGCUUCGAACUUAUAUCCCCCACGUAGUGCACGUAACAUAUUCGGUAAUUGGUUACAGGGUAUUGAUAAAUAA
This 273-nucleotide ribosomal RNA is filed under the name Triticum aestivum (bread wheat). RNAcentral describes it as "partial small subunit ribosomal RNA". The record is from RNAcentral. Lineage: Eukaryota; Viridiplantae; Streptophyta; Magnoliopsida; Poales; Poaceae.